GCGCAGCAGUCGCGAAUACUUCACAAUGUGCGAAAGCACGAUGAGGGAAUCCCAAGUGCUUGCACGUAAGUGUAAGCUGUUUCUCUGUCUAAAACGCAGAGAGAGUAAGGGCUGGGUAAGACGGGUGCCAGCCGCCGCGGUAAUACCUGCAGCUCGAGUGGUGACCGUUAUUAUUGGGCCUAAAACGUCCGUAGCCGGUUUAAUAAAUGCCUGGGUAAAUCGUGAGGCCUAACCUCACGAAUUCCGGGUAGACUGCCGGGCUAGGGACCGGAGGAGGGAGAGGGGUACUCCAGGGGUAGGGGUGAAAUCCUGUAAUCCCUGGAGGACCACCGGUGGCGAAGGCGCUCUCCUAGGACGGGUCCGACGGUGAGGGACGAAGGCCAGGGGGAGCGAACCGGAUUAGGAUACCCGUGUAGUCU
RNAcentral lists this ribosomal RNA (419 nucleotides) under uncultured microorganism. RNAcentral describes it as "bacterial SSU rRNA". It matches the Rfam family "Archaeal small subunit ribosomal RNA", at positions 330 to 747 of the family's 1478-position model. The record is from RNAcentral.